UGAUCCGUAUGUGCCAGGGAGCUCAAAACAACCGGAAAAUGACAGGGUUGAAAAAUCGCCCAAUUUCGACAAAAACCGAAUGUACCGGCUCGUGGAACAGUGUUUCGGCAGUGUGUGCGUGUGUCCGGUGUGUUUGAUUCGGUGAAAAGUGAGGUAGACAACGAUCAACAAAUAUCAGCAAAGAAUGUCCAGACGCGAUCAUGAAAGAGCAACAGAACUUAUCAAUUAUUUAUAAUAUAGACCAUUUUAUCAAGUUUAUUUUGAAAUAGCGCGCCGAAUGUUGUCAAAAAUCAAGCAUCCUGCAAAAAUAAUGUUAGCAAUAAGUAUUAAUUCUUGUAGGCUUUAUGUUUAUUUUAAUAGAGAAAAUAAACCGUAAAACUGUUGCAAAAAAUAUAGACAUAUGUAAGGUAAUACGAUAUACAAUUUUGUGGAUUAACAUCAGGUCUUAAUUUUUGCCGAAUGUGCAUGUAAUGUAUAUACAUAUAUAUCACUGUAUAAAAUAAAAUGUAUAUAUAUAUAUAUAUCCUUGAUUUUAAUGCUUGGAAAUAAAUAUUAAAUG
Anneissia japonica is the source of this 559-nucleotide long non-coding RNA. RefSeq lists it as uncharacterized. The record is from RefSeq and is a predicted model, not a curated record. Lineage: Eukaryota; Metazoa; Echinodermata; Crinoidea; Comatulida; Comatulidae. The transcript has 3 exons.